GAAAGCUUCAGACGAAGUUUCCAGAAAUGAAGAAAAUUGGCAUGUGUGCGUGCGCGGGACAUGCACGCAAGCAAAUUGGUAGAAUAUGAUAAAGAAUUCAACAAAGACUCCAUAAAUGAAGCAGUUGUCGAUUUAUCGUAGCAUUCAUGAAGAUGCAGAGUAAUCAAAUAACGUAAUUGGGGGGCAAAUAAAAGACCCUGUAACUGAAAUGAACUCUCAUGACCUCAAAGACCAGACAAAUCAUUCACCUUCAUUCCUUUUGGCACUUGAGAUUGUAAGACAUUCAUACAAACUGCUCACUAAACCAGAGUCAGGAACUGAUUAUCUUGUUGAACAUGGUUUGAAUGGAAAUAAUCCCCAACAAAACAAACAUUUCCCUUUUACCCUUUGAUAACCAGACCUGACUUGGCAGAAAAAUAGGGCUCCCCAGGCCACAUCUGUGAUGAUUUUGAUAAUGAUAAAAAUAAAAUUAUCCAAGUGAGUAGACAAUUCGCUUGGACAUCUCUGCACCUACAACCCUCUUAUAUCUGAGUAACUGAGAUUCCAAGUAACUCCUUUCACUGGCGCCAAAAAGCUCGUUGUAGAUCCUAUUAUUGCGAGACAUAGUAACAGGUGUAAUAAUUAAUGAACAUCCAUGCUAACCAACUACUGAUGACAAAUGCAAUCAAGGUUGAACAAGAAGCAAUAUGCAUCAUACAAGCUAUAUAUCUAUUAGUAUCAACGGUUUCCUUACGAGAAACACAGAUUUACAACUUCUUUAGUAGUGGAGAUCAUAUUUCUGUUACCAAAGCAUCCUAUAAUUAUUUGACCAGUGAUUGGAGUGGCAAUUGUACAGAAAGAAGACCACAUAUAGAACCGAGACUUAAAAUGUGUGAGAGAAAAAGAUAAAAUAGUGUUAACAUACCUUAUAUCUCACACGGGAUCCUUUAAACCAAUUAAAAUAUCACCAACAUCACAAUUUUCCAAUGUCUGACCACUUGUUUCUGGACCUGAUUCAUCAUCAGAACUUUCAGAUUCAGGUUCAAUCAUUUCUUCACUGUCAUCUAUAAGAACAUCAUUUGUGUCUUCAUCACCAUUGUCAUUUUGUUGCACUUCAAUGGCAUUUUCAGCUGUUUGAGGGGGUAAAGACUCUCCAUCUUGUAGAAGUGCAUGAUCUGACAAGACAACGUACGGCUUUCUAUCAAGUAAAGGCCUUGCAAUAUUAAAUGGAACCCACUGGUAACGGAGAGGACAGAGAAGCUCAGAUGGGCGAUAUGCUGCUUUAUAUCUCAUCUUGCUGCAGGAAUGAAUAUAAUAGCCAAGAUAAUAAUACUGAAGACUAGGGCAAUGGACUUGAUUCUCCUUCACCCAACCUACUUCCUGCAAUGCUGAAUACUUGCCCAGUGAUAGGAAGGCAAAAUCAGGAUCCCAGAAUAGAUAUUUACUAGACAAACAUUUUGGAAGAAUAUCAAUCACACCAACAGCAAUAAGCUUGCCAUCAACAACAUAUUGCUGAUGAAAGGAGCCAAAUCCACAAGGAGGAACUCUUCCAUCACCAGAAGGUGGGACAGAAACUAAGGGCGUAUCAACCAGAAACAUCCUGUAUGAGCUUUCAGUAACAUGAUCUGGUGUAUCAUUAUGCACUGUCAUCUGAUAUCUUCUAUACAAUGCAAAUUCUUCUGGAUCAAAACUGGAUCUUUUCAAACGGAUCUCUAACUUCCGCCUUUUCCCUUGAGGAUGUUUGGCACUCCUCCUCAUACAGCAGGCUUUUCUUUUACAACCUGCAGCAGAUUCUUUUGAGCCAAUAACAAUUUGAGCACCUUCACUGGAAGAAGCUUGUGUUGUAGAUGUAUAAAAAUUAAUGUGUCCAUUGCAAGCCUUGACGGACAACCCACUAGUUUCUGACAACUGAUUUAAAGCAGCAGCCAACUUUUCUGCAAUAACUUUAGGAGACACAGUGUCAUUUUCUGCAUCAUGCCUCAUGACCCUUUCAGCUGCUUGCACCCGCCUUAUAGUGGCUACUAUUUGAAAUGCAAUAUUGCUGGAGUACAUGAGCUCUUCUGCUCCAACUAGCAGCUUUCUUUUGGCUUGUGAAACCUGUUUGACAGAAGCGUUUGGUAAUUGUAUAUUGCAAGGAAACUCUCCACUUUCUGCACAAGAAUGGAUUGCCUUGUCAACUUGAUCCGACAGAUAAUUAACAAUAUGUUCUGCCCUAUUCUUCUCCUCAUUUUUAGCGGACAAAGAUUCCUUUGUUCCUGAGCUUGAAACUUCAUGACAUGCACAACUGCAUUUACCUUUGGAGAUAUCUGCAUCAUCUACAACCUCCACUGCUUUUUUGACAUCCAGUGUGCCAUCUAAAAGCCUUUGCAUUCUUCUAAGGACUCGAAGUUGCUCCUUUGAAGGGACAAAAUCACUUGCCCUCAGUCGAAUAGUAUAAGAUGGGCAGCAAGUCUUUUCCAUUUCAGGUUUAUAGAGGAAACAGCCAGAUCUUCUCCAUCCUCGGUCAAGAAGAUCUUGAUAGUCAUCAACCGUAAUGCUGCGUGCCCACAAUCCAUGAGAGAUACUGGUGCGGCCAGCGGAUUUGCAAUAACCGCAGGAGCUCCGGCAGCGACCCCAAUCAACCACGACGGUUUCUCCCCUGCUAUUGCUGCUUUUGCUAGUACUAGCUUCGCUUCUUCUCAUCUUUCCAGCCAUUUCCCUAUCUCUCUCUCUCUCUUCCUAUGCUUGGAAUUCUCGUUGAUCACCACCUAACUCUUUUUCACGGUUUACCGUAUUAAAACGCCACCGUUCCCCCUUGUCCCAUUCCCCUUUGAGUUUUUAUAGAAAUGAAU
RNAcentral lists this unclassified non-coding RNA (2810 nucleotides) under Hevea brasiliensis (rubber tree). The record is from RNAcentral. Lineage: Eukaryota; Viridiplantae; Streptophyta; Magnoliopsida; Malpighiales; Euphorbiaceae.